This 254-nucleotide ribosomal RNA is filed under the name uncultured bacterium. RNAcentral describes it as "partial 16S ribosomal RNA". It matches the Rfam family "Bacterial small subunit ribosomal RNA", at positions 524 to 776 of the family's 1533-position model. The record is from RNAcentral.
CACGUAGGGAGCAAGCGUUGUCCGGAUUUAUUGGGCGUAAAGAGCUCGUAGGUGGUUCGGUAAGUCGGGUGUGAAAACUCUGGGCUCAACUCAGAGACGCCACCCGAUACUGCCGUGACUAGAGUCUGGUAGGGGAGUGUGGAACUCCUAGUGUAGCGGAGAAAUGCGCAGAUAUUAGGAGGAACACCAGCGGCGAAGGCGGCACUCUGGGCCAGUACUGACACUGAGGAGCGAAAGCGUGGGUAGCGAACAGG